This 1294-nucleotide ribosomal RNA is filed under the name Mimosilpha disticha. RNAcentral's name for it is "16S ribosomal RNA". The stretch from base 1045 to 1205 matches the Rfam family "Archaeal large subunit ribosomal RNA", at positions 2542 to 2701 of the family's 2987-position model. The record is from RNAcentral. Lineage: Eukaryota; Metazoa; Arthropoda; Insecta; Blattodea; Blattidae.
UAUUAUAUAAAUUAUUAUUUUUUAUAUUAUUUUAAUAUUUUUAAUAAAUCAAUUUAUUGUUUUUGUAUAUUUUGUAGAUUAAAUUUUUUUUAUUAUAGUUAAUUUUUAUAGUAUUAGGAUUUUUAUUAAUUUUUAAAAGUAGAUUUUUGUCGUACCUUGUGUAUCAGGGUUUAUUAAAUUAUAUAAUUUAUUUUUUGUUUCCCGAUUUUAAAGGAUUUAAUUAAAUAUUUUAGUUAUUGUUUUAUAAUUAUUAAUAAUAUUUAUUUGGUAGUGACAUAUUAUUCGGCUUUAAUGGUAUCUGGUUUUUCAAGAAAUGAAUUAAAUUCAUAUAUUAAUAAUUUAUUUCUUUUUUUUUUAGUUCAUAUUUUGUUAAUAUAAAUAUUAUGGGGGAUAAGCUCUUUAAUAUAUUUUUAUAAUUUUUUAUUUUUUAAUUUUUGUUGGUUUUGAAAUAACUAUCAUUUUAAGUUUGUUAAAAUUUUAUUUAGUUAAUUUUUAAUUUUUAUUUAUUUAAAUAUUUUAUUGAAAUUAUUUAUUUAAUUAUUUAUUUGUCUAUAAUUAUGAUGUAAUUAGUAAUUGUUUUAUUUAUUUUUUAAUAAUUUUGCUUAUAUUUUAAAAAGAACUAGGCAAAAUUAAUUCCCGCAUGUUUAUCAAAAACAUCUUUUCUUGUAUAAAAUAUGAAAUAUGGCCUGCCCACUGAUUAAUUUUGAAGGGCCGCGGUAUUUUGACCGUGCAAAGGUAGCAUAAUCAUUAGUCUUUUAAUUGUAGACUGGUAUGAAUGGUUGGACGAGGAAUAAACUGUUUCUUAUUAUUUUUUUUUUGAAUUUAAUUUUUGAGUUAAAAAGCUUAAAUUUAUUUAUGGGACGAGAAGACCCUAUAGAGUUUUAUAUUUUAUAUACUUAUUUUGUUUGAUUAAAUAUUUAUUUUGUAUUAUAAUUUAUUUUGUUGGGGUGAUAGGAAGAAUUAAUUAACUCUUUUUUAUAUUUAUACACUUAUUUGUGAUAUAUUGAUCCAUUCUUGUUGAUUAUAAGAUUGAAUUACCUUAGGGAUAACAGCGUAAUCUUUUCUGAGAGUUCUUAUCGAUGAAUAGGUUUGCGACCUCGAUGUUGGAUUAAGAUUUAAUUUGGGUGUAGAAUUUCAAUUUGUUUAGGUCUGUUCGACCUUUAAAAUCUUACAUGAUCUGAGUUCAAACCGGUGUAAGCCAGGUUGGUUUCUAUCUAUAAUUAAUUUUAUAUCUUAGUACGAGAGGACCAGAUAUUUGAAAUAAUUUUAUUUAUUUGAUUAUUAUUAAUUUAUU